RNAcentral lists this ribosomal RNA (2308 nucleotides) under bioreactor sludge metagenome. RNAcentral describes it as "bacterial LSU rRNA". It matches the Rfam family "Bacterial large subunit ribosomal RNA", at positions 1 to 2246 of the family's 2925-position model. The record is from RNAcentral.
CUAAGUUACUAAGGGCAUACGGCGGAUGCCUUGGCAUUGAGAGGCGAUGAAGGACGCAGUUACCGGCGAUACGCCACGGUGAGGUGGAAGCAACCUAAUACCCGUGGAUUUCCGAAUGGGGCAACCCUCUUAGAGUAAUGUCUAAGAAUCUAUAUCUGAAUACAUAGGAUAUAAGAAGCAAACCCAGGGAACUGAAACAUCUAAGUACCUGGUGGAAUAUAAAAUAAUAAUGAUUUCCUAAGUAGUGGCGAGCGAACGGGAAGUAGUCUAAACCGAUCAACAUGUUAAAGAAUGCAAUCGUUGUGUUGACGGUGUUGUGGGGUGUUUUCAGACUGAAUUGCAAAUAAGUCGAGAUUAAUUUUAUCAUUAGCUGAAUGAUCUGGAAAGUUCAACCAUAGGGGGUGAUAGUCCUGUAAGCGAAAAUGAUAUAAUAUCUUGGAAGACAAACCCAAGUAGCACGAAAUAAGUGGAAGUUUGUGUGAAUCUGGCAGAACCAUCUGCUAAGACUAAAUACUCCUCAAUGACCGAUAGCGCAUAGUACCGUGAGGGAAAGGUGAAAAGUACUCCUAACAGGAGAGUGAAAUAGUACCUGAAACCGUAUGCUUACAAGCAGUUGGAGUCCUUUCGGGGAUGACAGCGUGCCUUCUGGAUAAUGAGCCUACGAGUUAGUCGUCAGUUGCGUGGUUAACCAUCUAAGAUGGGAAGCCGUAGCGAAAGCGAGUCUGAAUAGGGCGUUAAGUAGCUGGCGCUAGACGCGAAACCAGGUGAUCUACCCUUGUCCAGGAUGAAGUGAGGGUAAAACCUCAUGGAGGUCCGAACUAGUGUGGGUUGAAAACCGCUUGGAUGAGGUAAGGGUAGGAGCGAAAGACCAAUCAAACUUGGAGAUAGCUCGUACUCCUCGAAAUAGCUUUAGGGCUAGCCUCGAGUAAAAGUUUGCCGGAGGUAGAGCACUGAUUGGGCUAGGGCUGUCACAACGGUACCAAACCCAGACAAACUCCGAAUUCCGGACAAAUGUUUCUCGGGAGUCAGGCAGUGGGGGAUAAGCUUCAUUGCCAAAAGGGAAAGAACCCAAACCAUCAGCUAAGGUCCCAAAAUAAUAGUUAACAGAGAAAGGAUGUUAAGUUGCUUAGACAACUAGGAUGUUGGCUUAGAAGCAGCCAUUCAUUUAAAGAGUGCGUAAUAGCUCACUAGUCAAGCGACUUAGCGUCGACAAUACCCGGGACUUAAACUAUUUACCGAAGCUAUGGGAUUCGUAAGAAUCGGUAGAGGAGCAUUCUAUUUGCAGCGAAGGUGUGUUGCGAGACAUGCUGGAGCGAAUAGAAAAGCAAAUGUAGGCAUAAGUAACGAUAAAAAUGAUGAAAAAUCAUUUCGCCGAAAAUCUAAGGUUUCCUGAGCAAUGUUAGUCAUCUCAGGGUUAGUCAGGUCCUAAGCCGAGGCUGAAAGGCGUAGGUGAUGGGAAACAGGUCAAUAUUCCUGUACCUGGUAAAAGUCGUUCGACCGUAAGGAGGGACGCAGAAGUGAAGAUCAGCCACCUGUCGGAUUAGGUGGUCUAAGUGUGUAGAGGGAGAGAGUAGGCAAAUCCGCUUUCUCAUUAACCUUAAGGCACGAACGGGAUGGCAUAGCCAACAAACUGAUCGUAAUCAUGCUGCCGAGAAAAGCUUCGUACGGGAGAUUUUUAUCAGUCUGUACCGCAAACCGACACAGGUAGAUGGGAUGAAUAUUCUAAGGCGCUCGAGUGAGCCGUGGUUAAGGAACUCGGCAAAUUAACCCCGUAAGUUAGCGAGAAGGGGUGCCUCAAGUAUGUGAAAUUUUUACUAAUCUAGCAGAAAGAGGCCGCAGAGAAAUGGCCCAAGCGACUGUUUAACAAAAACACAUGUCUAUGCGAAGUCAAUCAAGACGAAGUAUAUGGACUGACACCUGCCCGGUGCUGGAAGGUUAAGGGGAGUGGUUAGCUGCAAAGCGAAGCUAUAAACCGAAGCCCCAGUAAACGGCGGCCGUAACUAUAACGGUCCUAAGGUAGCGAAAUUCCUUGUCGGGUAAGUUCCGACCUGCACGAAUGGUGUAACGAUUUGGGCACUGUCUCGACCACGGGCUCGGUGAAAUUGUGGUACCGGUGAAGACGCCGGUUACCCGCAUAUGGACGGAAAGACCCCGUGCACCUUUACUGCACCCUAACAUUGGGUUCGGAUAAAGCAUGUGUAGGAUAGGUGGGAGACUUUGAAGCCGGGGCGCUAGCUUCGGUGGAGUCAACCUUGAAAUACCACCCUUGUUUUAUUUGGAUUCUAACCUCGGCCCUUGAAUCAGGGUC